This 377-nucleotide ribosomal RNA is filed under the name uncultured bacterium. RNAcentral's name for it is "bacterial SSU rRNA". It matches the Rfam family "Bacterial small subunit ribosomal RNA", at positions 29 to 433 of the family's 1533-position model. The record is from RNAcentral.
AGCGAACGCUGGCGGCAGGCUUAACACAUGCAAGUCGAGCGGGCACUUUCGGGUGUCAGCGGCAGACGGGUGAGUAACACGUGGGAACGUACCCUUUGGUCCGGAACAACUCCGGGAAACUGGAGCUAAUACCGGAUAAGCCCUUCGGGGAAGGAUUAUUGCCAAAGGAUCGGCCCGCGUCUGAUUAGCUAGUUGGUGAGGUAACGGCUCACCAAGGCGACGAUCAGUAGCUGGUCUGAGAGGAUGAUCAGCCACACUGGGACUGAGACACGGCCCAGACUCCUACGGGAGGCAGCAGUGGGGAAUAUUGGACAAUGGGCGAAAGCCUGAUCCAGCCAUGCCGCGUGAGUGAUGAAGGCCCUAGGGUUGUAAAGCUC